RNAcentral lists this ribosomal RNA (406 nucleotides) under uncultured bacterium. Its description in RNAcentral is "partial 16S ribosomal RNA". It matches the Rfam family "Bacterial small subunit ribosomal RNA", at positions 30 to 526 of the family's 1533-position model. The record is from RNAcentral.
AUUGAACGCUGGCGGCAGGCCUAACACAUGCAAGUCGAACGAGUGGCGGACGGGUGAGUAAUGUCUGGGAAACUGCCCGAUGGAGGGGGAUAACUACUGGAAACGGUAGCUAAUACCGCAUACCCACGGAUGUGCCCAGAUGGGAUUAGCUAGUAGGGGGGGUAACGGCUCACCUAGGCGACGAUCCCUAGCUGGUCUGAGAGGAAGACCGGCCACUCUGGACUCGGGCCACGGUCCCGACUCCCACGGGAGGCAGCAGUGGGGAAGAUUGCACAAUGGGCGCAAGCCUGAUGCAGCCAUGCCGCGUGUAUGAAGAAGGCCUUCGGGUUGUAAAGUACUUUCAGCGAGGAGGCGUUACUCGCAGAAGAAGCAUCGGCUAACUCCGUGCCAGCCGCCGCGGUAAUAC